This 274-nucleotide ribosomal RNA is filed under the name uncultured bacterium. RNAcentral's name for it is "partial 16S ribosomal RNA". It matches the Rfam family "Bacterial small subunit ribosomal RNA", at positions 523 to 796 of the family's 1533-position model. The record is from RNAcentral.
AUACGGAGGGUGCAAGCGUUAAUCGGAAUUACUGGGCGUAAAGGGUUCGUAGGCGGUUAUUUAAGUCAGAUGAGAAAGCCCCGGGCUCAACCUGGGAAUUGCAUCUGAUACUGGGUAACUAGAGUUUAAGAGAGGAGUGUGGAAUUUCCGGUGUAGCGGUGAAAUGCAUAGAGAUCGGAAGGAACAUCAGUGGCGAAGGCGGCACUCUGGCUUAAAACUGACGCUGAGGAACGAAAGCGUGGGUAGCAAACAGGAUUAGAAACCCCAGUAGUCC